UACAGAGGUCUCAAGCGUUGUUCGGAUUCAUUGGGCGUAAAGGGUGCGUAGGUGGCGCGCUAAGUCAGGUGUGAAAUCUCGGGGCUUAACUCCGAAACUGCAUUUGAUACUGGCGUGCUUGAGGACUGGAGAGGAGACUGGAAUUCAUGGUGUAGCAGUGAAAUGCGUAGAGAUCAUGAGGAAGACCGGUGGCGAAGGCGGGUCUCUGGACAGUUCCUGACACUGAGGCACGAAGGCCAGGGGAGCAAACGGG
RNAcentral lists this ribosomal RNA (253 nucleotides) under uncultured bacterium. Its description in RNAcentral is "partial 16S ribosomal RNA". It matches the Rfam family "Bacterial small subunit ribosomal RNA", at positions 524 to 776 of the family's 1533-position model. The record is from RNAcentral.